Molecule: non-coding RNA, 72 nt
Organism: Ictidomys tridecemlineatus (thirteen-lined ground squirrel)
Lineage: Eukaryota; Metazoa; Chordata; Mammalia; Rodentia; Sciuridae
Source: Rfam
AGAGUUGUGGCUCAGUGGUAGAGCACUCGUCUAGCAUGUGUGAGGCACUGGGUUUGAUUCUCAGCACCACAU